AGGAAAACUAAACUCUAGAAGGCUCGUUUUCAUGCUGCCCCCGUUCGCGGUGUGCUCAUGGGACGCGGCUUCUUUAUAAUCACAAACGACUCUCGGCAACGGAUAUCUCGGCUCACGCAUCGAUGAAGAACGUAGCAAAAUGCGAUACUUGGUGUGAAUUGCAGAAUCCCGUGAACCAUCGAGUUUUUGAACGCAAGUUGCGCCCGAAGCCUUUUGGCCGAGGGCACGUCUGCCUGGGCGUCACGCAUCGCGUCGCCCCCCACAAUUCUCCGCAAAGGGAACAUGUGUUUUGGGGGCGGAUAUUGGUCUCCCGUGCUCAUGGCGUGGUUGGCCGAAAUAGGAGUCCUUUUGACAGACGCACGAACUAGUGGUGGUCGUAAAAACCCUCGUCUUUUGUUUCGUGCCGUCAGUCGUAAGGGAAACUCUUAGAAAACCCCAACGUGUCGUCUCUUGACGACGCUUCGACCGCGACCCCAGGUCAGGCGGGACUACCCGCUGAG
RNAcentral lists this ribosomal RNA (500 nucleotides) under embryophyte environmental sample. RNAcentral's name for it is "eukaryotic LSU rRNA". The stretch from base 88 to 243 matches the Rfam family "5.8S ribosomal RNA". Lineage: Eukaryota; Viridiplantae; Streptophyta. The record is from RNAcentral.